RNAcentral lists this ribosomal RNA (305 nucleotides) under uncultured bacterium. RNAcentral describes it as "bacterial SSU rRNA". It matches the Rfam family "Bacterial small subunit ribosomal RNA", at positions 333 to 654 of the family's 1533-position model. The record is from RNAcentral.
UGGGGCCUACGGGGCGCAGCAGUGGGGGAUAUUGCACAAGGGGGGAAACCCUGAUACAGCGACGCCGCGUGAGUGAAGAAGUAGUUCGGUAUGUGAAGCUCUAUCAGCAGGGAAGAAAAAAGACGGUACCUGACUAAGAAGCCCCGGCUAACUACGUGCCAGCAGCCGCGGUAAUACGUAGGGGGCAAGCGUUAUCCGGAUUUACUGGGUGUAAAGGGAGCGUAGACGGCAAUACAAGUCGGAAGUGAAAUACCCGGGCUCAACCUGGGAACUGCUUUGGAAACUGUAUGGCUGGCGUGCUGGGG